GAAAAGAAACCAACAGGGAUUGCCUUAGUAACGGCGAGUGAAGCGGCAAAAGCUCAAAUUUGAAAUCUGGCACCUUCGGUGUUCGAGUUGUAAUUUGGAGAGGCAUCUUCUGGAGGGGCCCAGCCUAUGUGCCUUGGAACAGGACAUCAUAGAGGGUGAGAAUCCCGUUCUUGGCUGGAUGUUCCCUCCUGUAUGUAGUGUCUUCUACGAGUCGAGUUGUUUGGGAAUGCAGCUCAAAAUGGGUGGUAAAUUUCAUCUAAAGCUAAAUAUUGGCGAGAGACCGAUAGCGCACAAGUAGAGUGAUCGAAAGAUGAAAAGCACUUUGAAAAUAGAGUCAAACAGUACGUGAAAUUGUUGAAAGGGAAGCGCUUAGGACCAGACUCAGCCUUUGGUGGACAUCCGCCCAUCGGGGCGGUGCACUUGUCAUUGGUUGGGCCAGCAUGGGUUGGGACGGUGGGAUAAAGGCUCGGGAAAUGUGACUCCUUUAUGGAGUGUUAUAGUCCCGGGUGGCAUGCCACCAGUCCCGACUGUGGAACGCGCAUCGGCACGGAUGCUGGCAUAAUGGUUUUC
This 570-nucleotide ribosomal RNA is filed under the name Tuber beyerlei. RNAcentral's name for it is "eukaryotic LSU rRNA". It matches the Rfam family "Eukaryotic large subunit ribosomal RNA", at positions 56 to 642 of the family's 3401-position model. Lineage: Eukaryota; Fungi; Ascomycota; Pezizomycetes; Pezizales; Tuberaceae. The record is from RNAcentral.